Long non-coding RNA from Sciurus carolinensis (gray squirrel), 534 nucleotides. RefSeq lists it as uncharacterized. The transcript is spliced from 2 exons. NCBI's taxonomy places the organism in Eukaryota, Metazoa, Chordata, Mammalia, Rodentia, Sciuridae. The record is from RefSeq and is a predicted model, not a curated record.
CACCGCCCAGGUCACACUCAGGAAGCAAAGAGAGAGAAGGGAACAGCACACACAGGCCAAUCGGACUCCAUGCUCGGAAAUCUCUUCAGGAAAAAUAGAAGUUUAGGAUUGGACCUCUCAGAAAAAGCUCUUCCUUAACAAGAAGCCCCUUCAAAGGCCAAGCUGGAUUGACAGGCAAGCAGAUGUCUUCCUCAAAUGGACCUCUCCAUCAGCCCUCUUUGGAGAGCAGAUCAAUUACCUGGGGAGGGCAGGUGAGAAGGACCUAACUAAAUGUCCCAGGGAAAAAUAACAGGAGGGUGGCAUGAUUUUCUCUGAUCCUUCCAAGAGAAAAAAUGAAAUAACAAAAUUCACUCCUUUUUCUUCUUCUUCUUUCAACUGGCGGAAAACAGAUUUCAGAUUAGUUUCAAUAACUAAUGAUGACUUUAAAUUGCUUUAGCCUUUACUCCCCAUAGCCAGGAUUUAAAACAAAUAACUUUUGAAGUUUUUUGUUGUUGUUGUUAUAUUGUUAUUUUCUAAAUAAACACUCUGACUGGA